UAUAUACUCCCUCCGUCCAUAAUUACUUGUCGCACAAAUUGAUAAAAAUGAACGUAUCUAGAACUAAAAUACAUCUAGAUACAUCUAUUUCUAUGACAAGUAUUUUCGGACGAAGGGGUAUCUA
Molecule: non-coding RNA, 124 nt
Organism: Hordeum vulgare subsp. vulgare (domesticated barley)
Lineage: Eukaryota; Viridiplantae; Streptophyta; Magnoliopsida; Poales; Poaceae
Source: Rfam